AGGGUGUAAACGCUGCAGACUUGGUGUUGGAAGUCCUUUGGGGGGCAUUCAGUGCCGGAGAGAAGUUGUUAAGUCUGCUACUUGGGGAGUACGUCCGCAAGGAUGAAACUUAAAGGAAUUGGCGGGGGAGCACCGCAACGGGAGGAGCGUGCGGUUUAAUUGGAUUCAACACCGUAAAACUCACCAGGGAAGACUGUUACAUGAAAGCCGAGAUGAAGACUCUGCUAGAUUUUCAGAGAGGAGGUGCAUGGCGUCAGUGACU
Molecule: ribosomal RNA, 262 nt
Filed under: uncultured archaeon
Lineage: Archaea
Description: partial 16S ribosomal RNA
Rfam family: Archaeal small subunit ribosomal RNA
Source: RNAcentral